AGAACGCGAACCACCACAGUAAAUAGUAAAAGAAAUGUUAUUUGGGUCUAAUGUUGUUUUGUUGAGAUUUGGUCGGUGUCUUACUGCUUCUACUGUGGGUCGCUUCAGUCGUGUCUCGCCUAGUGUGUUGUGUGGAUGUGCCACGGACCACUGUGUUACAUUCAGUCGUACAGUUAACCAAUCCACAGCGAUGAGUACCCCGAAGAAAAUAUGUAUCGUUGGAUCGGGAAAUUGGGGCUCGGCCAUCGCCAAGAUCAUCGGCAACAACGUCACCAAGUUCGACCAGUUCGACAAUGAGGUGCGAAUGUACGUCUACGAGGAGAUGAUCGACGGGAAGAAGCUGACAGAGAUCAUCAACACGACCCACGAGAACGUGAAGUACCUCCCAGGGAAGAAGCUGCCAGAGAAUGUGGUUGCAAUCCCCGAUGUCCUACAAGCAGCGCAGGACGCAGACGUCCUAGUGUUCGUCAUUCCACAUCAGUUCAUCAAGACAAUAUGCGCACCUCUCGUGGGGAAACUCAAGCCCACGGCUGUCGGGAUUUCUCUUAUCAAGGGUUUCGACAUAGCGGAAGGCGGUGGCAUCGCGCUUAUCUCGCAUAUCAUUCACAAAGUCGUAAAUAUUCCCAUGUCUGUCCUCAUGGGGGCCAAUCUAGCGGGAGAAGUCGCAGACGAAAAAUUCUGUGAGACCACGAUAGGUUGCCGAGACAUAAAUGUUGGCCGAAUGUAUCGAGAUCUCAUCCAGACAGAUUAUUUUAGAGUUGUUGUAGUUGAUGACGUAGAAGCUGUUGAAGUAUGUGGUGCUCUCAAGAAUAUCGUUGCAACAGGUGCUGGUUUCAUUGAUGGCCUUGGCUUUGGUGAUAACACAAAAGCUGCAGUCAUAAGAUUAGGUCUUAUGGAGAUGAUUAAGUUCUGUGAGGUAUUCUAUGCUGGCUCAAAACUAGGUACAUUCUUUGAAAGUUGUGGUGUUGCAGAUCUAAUCACAACAUGUUAUGGAGGGAGGAAUAGGAGAGUUGCUGAAGCCUUUGUUAAAACAGGAAAGUCUAUUGAAGAACUGGAGAAGGAGAUGUUAAAUGGCCAAAAACUUCAAGGACCUCAGACUGCAGCUGAAGUAAAUUAUAUGCUCAAGAAUAAGGAUAUGGAAGACAGGUUCCCACUUUUCACAUCCAUACACCGUGUCUGCCUGGGUGAAAUUUCCUCCACUCCUGGAAUGAUAGACUGUAUUCGAAACCAUCCUGAACAUAUAGAUGUGGCGGGAUCAGCGAAAGCAAAUGACGGAGUUGUUGUUGAUGCUCUUCUUCUUCCUCAAAUGGAGUGACGUCACAAUACAGCCGAUAGUUUUUUGUCAGGAGCACGUAAAGCCUGUUUGAGAAGACGGAUGUUAUUUGCUUUUCUGUUUGUAAGUACAGGUGUUCCUUUGACAAAAAACAUACGGCAGUGUGAAACAAACGGUGAAGCUCUUGAUGUCUGAAGAACACUUAUGAUUAUCUACCUGAUUGCAGUGAAUUGAACUGUUUUAUUUUUAUGCAGAUUCUACACAAUCUGUGAUAUGGUUUGGUUGGUACUGAACAGUUGCAAUUCAUUGUUGAAAGCUCACUUUCCUCUGUAUAUAAUAUUUUGGUGUAUUUUCAAUGCCAGUUGAAUUGACUGAUGCUAUUUUAUUAGACAAAGUUGUAUGAUUCCAUAUGUGAAUGAAACUUAGGUAGGCCUUUAUAAAAGUAACAUUAAGGAAUAUUUUAUUGUUGAAAUUUUUAAAAAAUUUUGAGAUUUAAUAUGGAUAUGAUUUUUACUGUAUAUGUUUUAUGUCAUUUUACCUGUAAACUAGCUUCAUUUUAUAAGUCACUGUAUGACAGAGUGCAAGUGUGUGUAUGGUACACUACUGUACUGUAUUAUUCACAGAGCUAACAUAUGCCAUGUAGCAAUAAGGAAAGUAGUUCAGCUGUAAUGAAACAAUGAUAUUUAAAAGAUAUUUUAAAUUUUGCAAUUCAUUAAAGUUUUAACCUAUUUUCUUGGGGGGAAGCUUUCCUCUUAGUU
Macrobrachium nipponense is the source of this 2031-nucleotide RNA transcript. It is a transcript of the gene named glycerol-3-phosphate dehydrogenase [NAD(+)], cytoplasmic-like, with no coding region annotated. The transcript is spliced from 12 exons. Lineage: Eukaryota; Metazoa; Arthropoda; Malacostraca; Decapoda; Palaemonidae. The record is from RefSeq and is a predicted model, not a curated record.